This 519-nucleotide ribosomal RNA is filed under the name uncultured microorganism. Its description in RNAcentral is "bacterial SSU rRNA". It matches the Rfam family "Bacterial small subunit ribosomal RNA", at positions 9 to 524 of the family's 1533-position model. The record is from RNAcentral.
GAGUUUGAUCGUGGCUCAGGAUGAACGCUGGCGGCGUGCUUAACACAUGCAAGUCGAACGAAGCGCCUUAUUUGAUUUUCUUCGGAACUGAAGAUUUGGUGACUGAGUGGCGGACGGGUGAGUAACGCGUGGGUAACCUGCCCUGUACAGGGGGAUAACAAUCAGAAAUGACUGCUAAUACCGCAUAAGACCACAGCACCGCAUGGUGCAGGGGUAAAAACUCCGUGGUACAGGAUGGACCCGCGUCUGGUUAGCUGGUUGGUGAGGUAACGGCUCACCAAGGCGACGAUCAGUAGCCGGCUUGAGAGAGUGAACGGCCACAUUGGGACUGAGACACGGCCCAAAACUCCUACGGGAGGCAGCAGUGGGGAAGUAUUGCACAAAUGGGGGAAACCCGUGAUGCAGCAACGCCGCGUGAGUGAAGAAGUAUUUCGGUAUGUAAAGCUCUAUCAGCAGGGAAGAAAGUGACGGUACCUGACUAAGAAGCCCGGCUAACUACGUGCCAGCAGCCGCCGUAAC